This 711-nucleotide long non-coding RNA is filed under the name Pan troglodytes (chimpanzee). Its description in RNAcentral is "long non-coding RNA NONPTRT011071". The record is from RNAcentral. Lineage: Eukaryota; Metazoa; Chordata; Mammalia; Primates; Hominidae.
GGAACAGAAAACAAGGAUAGCAAGUGUUUGGAUCAAGAAUCAAGAAUGAGCAGUAAAAAUCUAAAUCCGGAAGUGGGAGUUCAUUACAGAGAACAGUGCAAGAGCAGCCCAGAUGUACACCAGCAACUCCAGGAGAGCAGAUGAGUAAUGGAUACUUCAAGUCAUGUCAGCAACAGAAUCUGUGGAAGAACUCUGGAGAAGCGAAGAUACCGGAUAUUGGUGACCUGGGAGGAUUUAGGAAGCAGCAAAUGGAUGGACGCAGUAAGACUAAAGUUCAAAGAUAAAAGAGAAGCAUCUGUCAACUGAUGAAGGAACUGUCUUUACAGAAAAUAAGAAGACACACAGAGACAACUGGGAGAAAGCCAUGUGACGAUGGAGACAGAGAACAAAGGUCUAUUGCCACAAGCCAGGGAAGACCAAGAGCCACCAGAAUAUGGAAGAGACAAGGAAGGAUCCUCCCCUAGAGACUUCGAAGGGAUUGUGGCCCUGCUGACACCUUGGCUUCAAACUUCUAGCCUCAAAAAUGUUAGAAAACAAACUACUGUCAUUUUAAACCACCCAAUUUGUAGUAGUUUCUUAUGGCAGUCAUUGUAAACUAAUACACUCAUUAAGUUGGUUCCUUUUGAAAACUGAGGGGAAAAAUGUUUUUCUUCUUGCUUUUGCUUUCCUGUGCGUAAAUAUCAAAAACUAAUUCAUAUAACACUAUAAAAC